GCAGGAUCUGGGUCCAGAUGCCGCCAGGCCCACCGGGGAGCCGUGCACGCGCCACCUGCCUCCUGUGUAUAGACAGCGCUUGGGUCUGUUCUGCUCUUUUCUACUAAACAAUGUACUUACUCCAUAUUCUUUACUGCUUUUGUGAAUGACUAGGAAAGUGUACAUUUUAUGUUCAGAGAAAUGCUAAACCCGCAUCUCAUCCGGCCCCUCCCUGUGCUCUCAUCACCUCCCCCUCCAGCACCUGAAAUGCCCCUCGGUCCCUCAGCAUCCCUUCCCCGGGGCUCCAUCUCCCAAGCAAGCUCCUCAGACUGAGGGUCUUCCUCACUCCCCCGUCUCCAAAUCCGUUCUGUUCUGUGUCUGAGGGCAACCUGGCUCUGGCUCUCCCUCCCCACCCCCAGCGACCUGCUUAGAGUUGACAGCACCGGCCGCCCACUGGAGCGUUUCUGACCCUUGGAACGUGGUGGAAAUGCUGCUCAGCCUGGGGCCUGCUUGUCC
This 495-nucleotide long non-coding RNA is filed under the name Homo sapiens (human). RNAcentral's name for it is "HSALNT0279372". The record is from RNAcentral. Lineage: Eukaryota; Metazoa; Chordata; Mammalia; Primates; Hominidae.